AGAGUUUGAUCCUGGCUCAGGACGAACGCUGGCGGCGCGCCUAACACAUGCAAGUCGAACGGAGCUGAGAGGAGCUUGCUUUCCUUAGCUUAGUGGCGAACGGGUGAGUAACGCGUGAGUAACCUGCCCUGGAGUGGGGGACAACAGUUGGAAACGACUGCUAAUACCGCAUAAGCCCACGGAUCCGCAUGGAUCUGCGGGAAAAGGAUUUAUUCGCUUCAGGAUGGACUCGCGUCCAAUUAGCUAGUUGGUGAGGUAACGGCCACCAAGGCGACGAUUGGUAGCCGGACUGAGAGGUUGAACGGCCACAUUGGGACUGAGACACGGCCCAGACUCCUACGGGAGGCA
This 348-nucleotide ribosomal RNA is filed under the name uncultured bacterium. Its description in RNAcentral is "bacterial SSU rRNA". It matches the Rfam family "Bacterial small subunit ribosomal RNA", at positions 8 to 350 of the family's 1533-position model. The record is from RNAcentral.